GCCUUCUUAGCUCAGUGGUACAGCGUGUGGCUUUUAACCACGUGGUCGUGGGUUCAAAAUCCACACAGACGGUG
Non-coding RNA from Ipomoea nil (Japanese morning glory), 74 nucleotides. Lineage: Eukaryota; Viridiplantae; Streptophyta; Magnoliopsida; Solanales; Convolvulaceae. The record is from Rfam.